Molecule: non-coding RNA, 29 nt
Filed under: Homo sapiens (human)
Lineage: Eukaryota; Metazoa; Chordata; Mammalia; Primates; Hominidae
Source: RNAcentral
UUUGGGGAGUAAAGAUGUUUGGUCUCAAA